Cynocephalus volans (Philippine flying lemur) is the source of this 130-nucleotide small nucleolar RNA. RefSeq annotates it as small nucleolar RNA SNORA64/SNORA10 family. The transcript has a single exon. The record is from RefSeq and is a predicted model, not a curated record. NCBI's taxonomy places the organism in Eukaryota, Metazoa, Chordata, Mammalia, Dermoptera, Cynocephalidae.
CCUCUCUCAGCUCCGCUUGAUCACACAGGCCUAGUGUGUGCUUGGCAUCUUUUCAGAGAGAGAGAAGGCCGUCCUAAUGCACGGCAGGCCUGCCCAAAGUGGCCUCUCUGUCCCUAGGAGUGCAACUGCA